Molecule: ribosomal RNA, 371 nt
Filed under: uncultured bacterium
Lineage: Bacteria
Description: partial 16S ribosomal RNA
Rfam family: Bacterial small subunit ribosomal RNA
Source: RNAcentral
UAGGGAAUAUUGGGCAAUGGAGGCCACUCUGACCCAGCCAUGCCGCGUGCAGGAAGAAGGCGCUCAGCGUUGUAAACUGCUUUUAUCGGGGAAGAAACGACCCUUGCGAGGGGCAUUGACGGUACCCGAUGAAUAAGCACCGGCUAACUCCGUGCCAGCAGCCGCGGUAAUACGGAGGGUGCAAGCGUUGUCCGGAUUUAUUGGGUUUAAAGGGUGCGCAGGCGGGAAGGUUAGUUCGUGUUGAAAGACGAUCGCUCAACGAUUGCAGUGCCAUGAAUACUGCCUUUCUUGAAUCUGGUUGAGGCCGGUGGAAUUGACCGUGUAGCGGUGAAAUGCAUAGAUAUGGUCAAGAACUCCAAUUGCGAAGGCAG